GACGAACGCUGGCGGCGUGCCUAACACAUGCAAGUCGAGCGAUGAAGCCCUUCGGGGUGGAUUAGCGGCGGACGGGUGAGUAACACGUGGGUAACCUGCCUCAAAGAGGGGGAUAGCCUCCCGAAAGGGAGAUUAAUACCGCAUAAUAUCAUGCUUUCGCAUGAAGAUAUGAUUAAAGGAGAAAUCCGCUUUGAGAUGGACCCGCGGCGCAUUAGCUAGGUGGUGAGGUAACGGCUCACCAAGGCCACGAUGCGUAGCCGACCUGAGAGGGUGAUCGGCAACAUUGGAACUGAGACACGGUCCAGACUCCUACGGGAGGCAGCAGUGGGGAAUAUUGCACAAUGGGCGAAAGCCUGAUGCAGCAACGCCGCGUGAGUGAUGACGGCCUUCGGGUUGUAAAACUCUGUCUUUGGGGACGAUAAUGACGGUACCCAAGGAGGAAGCCACGGCUAACUACGUGCCAGCCGCCGCCGUAA
This 476-nucleotide ribosomal RNA is filed under the name uncultured bacterium. Its description in RNAcentral is "partial 16S ribosomal RNA". It matches the Rfam family "Bacterial small subunit ribosomal RNA", at positions 28 to 523 of the family's 1533-position model. The record is from RNAcentral.